GAGCGGAUGAAGGGAGCUUGCUCCUGGAUUCAGCGGCGGACGGGUGAGUAAUGCCUAGGAAUCUGCCUGGUAGUGGGGGAUAACGUCCGGAAACGGGCGCUAAUACCGCAUACGUCCUGAGGGAGAAAGUGGGGGAUCUUCGGACCUCACGCUAUCAGAUGAGCCUAGGUCGGAUUAGCUAGUUGGUGGGGUAAAGGCCUACCAAGGCGACGAUCCGUAACUGGUCUGAGAGGAUGAUCAGUCACACUGGAACUGAGACACGGUCCAGACUCCUACGGGAGGCAGCAGUGGGGAAUAUUGGACAAUGGGCGAAAGCCUGAUCCAGCCAUGCCGCGUGUGUGAAGAAGGUCUUCGGAUUGUAAAGCACUUUAAGUUGGGAGGAAGGGCAGUAAGUUAAUACCUUGCUGUUUUGACGUUACCAACAGAAUAAGCACCGGCUAACUUCGUGCCAGCAGCCGCGGUAAUACGAAGGGUGCAAGCGUUAAUCGGAAUUACUGGGCGUAAAGCGCGCGUAGGUGGUUCAGCAAGUUGGAUGUGAAAUCCCCGGGCUCAACCUGGGAACUGCAUCCAAAACUACUGAGCUAGAGUACGGUAGAGGGUGGUGGAAUUUCCUGUGUAGCGGUGAAAUGCGUAGAUAUAGGAAGGAACACCAGUGGCGAAGGCGACCACCUGGACUGAUACUGACACUGAGGUGCGAAAGCGUGGGGA
Molecule: ribosomal RNA, 708 nt
Filed under: Pseudomonas aeruginosa
Lineage: Bacteria; Pseudomonadati; Pseudomonadota; Gammaproteobacteria; Pseudomonadales; Pseudomonadaceae
Description: bacterial SSU rRNA
Rfam family: Bacterial small subunit ribosomal RNA
Source: RNAcentral